RNAcentral lists this ribosomal RNA (465 nucleotides) under uncultured bacterium. Its description in RNAcentral is "partial 16S ribosomal RNA". It matches the Rfam family "Bacterial small subunit ribosomal RNA", at positions 28 to 507 of the family's 1533-position model. The record is from RNAcentral.
GACGAACGCUGGCGGCGUGCUUAACACAUGCAAGUCGAACGGAAAGGCCCUGCUUGCAGGGUACUCGAGUGGCGAACGGGUGAGUAACACGCGGGUGUUCCGCCCUGCACUUCGGGAUAAGCCUGGGAAACUGGGUCUAAUACCGGAUAGGAGCCAUUUUUAGUGUGAUGGUUGGAAAGUUUUUUCGGUGUAGGAUGGGCUCGCGGCCUAUCAGCUUGUUGGUGGGGUAAUGGCCUACCAAGGCGGGGACGGGUAGCCGACCUGCGAGGGUGGACGGCCACAUUGGGACUGAGGUACGGCCCAGACUCCUACGGGAGGCAGCAGUGGGGAAUAUUGCACAAUGGGCGCAAGCCUGAUGCAGCGACGCCGCGGGGGGGAUGACGGCCUUCGGGUUGUAAACUCCUUUCGCUAGGGACGAAGCUGUUUGUGACGGUACCGAGAUAAGAAGCACCGGCUAACUACGUG